GAUGAAGAACGCAGCAAAAUGCGAUAAGUAAUGUGAAUUGCAGAAUUCAGUGAAUCAUCGAAUCUUUGAACGCACAUUGCGCCCGCUGGUAUUCCGGCGGGCAUGCCUGUUCGAGCGUCAUUUCAACCCUCAAGCCCCCGGGCUUGGUGUUGGGGCUCGGCCCGUCCCUAGCGGAUGCGCCGUCCCCGAAAUCUAGUGGCGGUCUCGCUGUAGCCUCCUCUGCGUAGUAGCUAACACCUCGCAAUGGGAACGCAGCGCGGCCACGCCGUUAAACCCCCCACUUCUGAAGGUUGACCUCGGAUCAGGUAGGAAUACCCGCUGAACUUAAGCAUAUCAAUAAGCGGAGGA
RNAcentral lists this unclassified non-coding RNA (348 nucleotides) under soil metagenome. RNAcentral describes it as "partial contains 5.8S ribosomal RNA, internal transcribed spacer 2, and large subunit ribosomal RNA". The stretch from base 1 to 120 matches the Rfam family "5.8S ribosomal RNA", at positions 35 to 154 of the family's 154-position model. The record is from RNAcentral.